AGUGAACGCUGGCGGUAGGCCUAACACAUGCAAGUCGAACGGCAGCACAGUAAGAGCUUGCUCUUACGGGUGGCGAGUGGCGGACGGGUGAGGAAUACAUCGGAAUCUACUUUUUCGUGGGGGAUAACGUAGGGAAACUUACGCUAAUACCGCAUAUGACCUACGGGUGAAAGCAGGGGAUCUUCGGACCUUGCGCGAUUGAAUGAGCCGAUGUCGGAUUAGCUAGUUGGCGGGGUAAAGGCCCACCAAGGCGACGAUCCGUAGCUGGUCUGAGAGGAUGAUCAGCCACACUGGAACUGAGACACGGUCCAGACUCCUACGGGAGGCAGCAGUGGGGAAUAUUGGACAAUGGGCGCAAGCCUGAUCCAGCCGUACCGCGUGGGUGAAGAAGGCCUUCGGGUUGUAAAGCCCUUUUGUUGGGAAAGAAAAGCAGCAGGUUAAUACCCCGCUGUUCUGACGGUACCCAAAGAAUAAGCACCGGCUAACUUCGUG
This 492-nucleotide ribosomal RNA is filed under the name uncultured bacterium. RNAcentral's name for it is "partial 16S ribosomal RNA". It matches the Rfam family "Bacterial small subunit ribosomal RNA", at positions 29 to 507 of the family's 1533-position model. The record is from RNAcentral.